UAGGGAAUCUUCGGCAAUGGGGGCAACCCUGACCGAGCAACGCCGCGUGAGUGAAGAAGGUUUUCGGAUCGUAAAGCUCUGUUGUAAGAGAAGAACGUGUGUGAGAGUGGAAAGUUCACACAGUGACGGUAACUUACCAGAAAGGGACGGCUAACUACGUGCCAGCAGCCGCGGUAAUACGUAGGUCCCGAGCGUUGUCCGGAUUUAUUGGGCGUAAAGCGAGCGCAAGCGGUUUAAUAAGUCUGAAGUUAAAGGCAGUGGCUUAACCAUUGUUCGCUUUGGAAACUGUUAAACUUGAGUGCAGAAGGGGAGAGUGGAAUUCCAUGUGUAGCGGUGAAAUGCGUAGAUAUAUGGAGGAACACCGGUGGCGAAAGCGGCUAUCUGGUCUGUAACUGACGCUGAGGCUCGAAAGCGUGGGGAGCAAACAGG
RNAcentral lists this ribosomal RNA (429 nucleotides) under bacterium. RNAcentral describes it as "partial 16S ribosomal RNA". It matches the Rfam family "Bacterial small subunit ribosomal RNA", at positions 355 to 776 of the family's 1533-position model. The record is from RNAcentral.